GCUGGGCUUGGUACCGUGAGCCUGUAACCCGAGUGGGAGCAUUAAGAUGGUGGAACAAUUGGCCUUGCCCUGAAGGCUGGGCUUGGUGUGCUAUCUUCUGGCCUGCCCGUUCCAAGGGGUGAGUUGAUUGAGGAGUCUCAGCGAAGGCGGAGGCUUCUCUGUCUUUAGAUCGGAGGGUACCGCAUUAGGCUGGCUUCACAGAGCAGCGAAAACCUCCUCUUUGCAGUGGAAGGAUAAUGGGCCAGUGCAUCCCCACUACUGCCUGAUGGGCUGCCUAAAUUGAACUGCCAUCUUU
This 295-nucleotide signal recognition particle RNA is filed under the name Ipomoea nil (Japanese morning glory). Its description in RNAcentral is "Plant signal recognition particle RNA". It matches the Rfam family "Plant signal recognition particle RNA". The record is from Rfam by way of RNAcentral. Lineage: Eukaryota; Viridiplantae; Streptophyta; Magnoliopsida; Solanales; Convolvulaceae.